AUGGAGGCUCCACACAGCACAGAAACUGACGGGGGCCAAGGUUUGCCUAUGGAGGUCUUGGCUUCCUGUCUGCCCCUCUUGCGUAAAUUUCAGGAGCUCUUUAAGAGGGAACAAAAGGAGGACUGGGCAGUCGGUGUUGAUUGCCUAAAUCGAGCAGUCUUCAGAACAUCCACACACUCACCAAGCAGUUGAAGUUGGUGGAAUGGACCUUCUUGCUGCUCACUGCCUGGAAGAAUGUCCUCAUCGACUCCAAACCUGCUUGACAGACCAAAGCCCAGGCCAAGCCAAGGCUGCUGGUGACCUCUGCCCCAGAAGUAAUCAAUUUAGAUUUAAAGUAAUUAUUGAUAGGUAAGGACUUUGUUUUGCCAUUUUGUUAAUUGUCUUAUGAUGGCUUUAUAUUUCCCUUUUUCUUUUCUUCCUCUCUUGUGGUCUUCCUUUGUUUGCUUUUUGGAGUGGUAUGCUUUGAUUCCUUUCUCUUUAUCUUUUGUGUAUCUACUAGAAGUGUUUUCCUUGUGGUUAGUAUUAGGAUUACAUAAAAUGUCUUAUAGUCUGUUUUAAGCUGUUAAAAACUUUACUUCAUUUGCAUACAAAAACUCUAUACUUUUACUCCUGCCUCACAUUUUAUGUUACUGAUGUCACAGUUUAUAUACUUUUAUAAUGUAUGUUCAUUAUCAAAUUAUUGUAGCUCUAGUUAUUUUUAAUAACUUUGUCUUUUAACUGUUAUACUAGAAUUAAAAGUCAUUUAAACACCACCAUUACAGUAUUAGAGUAUUCUGAUUUGACUUCGUACUUACCCUUACCAUUGAGUUGUACAUUUAUAUGUUUUCAUAUUAUUAAUUAGCAUCCUUGCAUUUCAGCUGAAGGAAUUUCCCCUUAGCAUUUCUUGUAAAGUAGGUCUAGUGGUGAAAAACUCCCUCAAUUUUUGUUUUUCUUAGAAAGUUUUUAUCUCUCCAUUUCUGAAGGACAUCUUUGCUAGGUAUACUAUUCUUGUUUGGCAGGGUUUUUUUUUUCUUUCCGCACUUUGAAUGUAUCAUCUCACUCUUCCCUGGCCUGUAAGGUUUCUGCUGAGAUAUCCACUGAUAGCCUAAUGGGGUUUCUUUUGUAUGUGAUGAGUUGCUUUUCCUUUAUUGCUUUUAAAUUUCUUUUUCACUUUGAGUUUUGAGAACUUGAUUAUUAUGUGUCUCAGUUUAAUCUUCUUUGGGUUGAUCCUAUUUGAUUAUUUGAGCUUCAUGCAUCUGGAUGUCCAUGUUCCUCCCAUAAUUUGGGAAGUUUUCUGCCAUUAUUUCUUUAAAUAAACCUUCUGCUCUUUUCUCUCUUCUUUUGUGAGUCCCAUAUAUUAAUAUAUUAAUUCAUUUGAUAGUGCCCUAUAAAACCAAUAGAUUUCCUUCACUCUUCUUCGUUCUUUUUUCCCUAGAUUGGAUAAUUUCAAAUGAUCUAAGUUCACAAAUUCUUUCUUCCAUUUGACAAGUCUGCUGUUGAAGCUCUAUUGCAUCUUUCAUUUCUUUCAUCAUAUUCUUCAGCUCCAGAAUUUGUUUGGUUCUUUUUUAAUGAUUUCACUUUCUUUGUUGAAAUUCUUUUGUUCAUGAAUUGUUUUCCAUAUUUAAUUGCAUUGCCUAUUUUCUUAUAGCUUUUGACCUUCCUUAAAACAAUUAUUUUGAAUUAUUUGUUAGGCUAUCUAUUAUCUCCAUUUUGGGGGGUUGAUUACUGGGAAAUUAUCAUACUCCUUUAGUAGUUUUAUGUUUCCUUAAUUUUUCAUAUUCCUUGAAUUCUUGCACUGCCAUCUUUGCAUUUAAAGUAGUCACCUCUUCUGGUCUUUACUGAUUGGCUCUGAGAGAGAAAUACCUUUACCAGUCAGCCUAGCUAGGCACUCUGGGGGGUCUCUCAGACCUUUCCUAUGGAUAUACCCACUCCACUCCUCUUGUUCCUUCUUGGGGGGUAGUUUUAGGAUUGUAGGCAUUUUCUCAAUCCUACAAAGCCAGACCAUGCUCUGAGAGCCUCCCACUUAUUUUCUCUAGGCAGUGCCCUGAACCAUUCAAGGUUUUGUGCCUUCUCCCAACCCAGCAGAGUUGAGCUACCUGUAUGUGCUUGUGCACAAUCUAUAGAGGCUUGCAUGUGUAUUUUGUGGGAGUAUGGGGGAGGGGGGUCAUCAGCUCCAAAGGGGUGAGGGAUGCAUGGAGAUCUAGGGGUCACUUGUGGAAUAAUUGGGAGAGACUGCAGGUGAUGUAUCAUAAAAGGUUUGCAAGUGGGCCUCUUGGCAGAUAAUGCGAGAUGAGUAGUAGAGUCCAUGACUCUUUGUUGACUUCAACCCUCCAGUUAUUCUGAGUCCCCACCCCUUUUCCCUGCUCCUUGCUGCCCCCUGACUACUCAGCUGUGCCAAUGUCCUAAGUGUUAUGGGUAGGAUGAGAAUGGAGUAGCUAAGGAAAUCAGAUACUCACCUUCCCCCAAGGGAGAAAUCACAGGCUGAGGGGAUUUCUCUUGGGACUUAGCUGUGCUGCCUUUACGGGGGUUACACAGGUAAACUGGAACUGUUCUUGUUAUCCUCUUCAAUGAGUCUAUUCUCAGAUUUUUUUAGCUCCAAUGAGGUGCUAGAACCUCUCUGUGGAUUUCUGUACAUCCGCAAAGUAUUCUCAUCCAUGGGUGGUUGUCAAAAUCUGUUUCUUUGUGGGGGAUGAGGGCUAAAAUUCCUCUUCCACCAUGUUGCUGACAUUACUUUCCUGAGGAUUUAAAACCGGGUUUGCCUCAAUCAAACAUCGUGUACUUUGCACUCUACAACAAUACCUUAUGUGAUAAUUAUAUACACUUAGAAUGUGUAAAAUUAAACAUGCAUUUUCAUUUUAUCAGAUCUAUCAAUAGCUUUCAGCACAAUUGACCCUUCCUUCCUUGAAGUUCUUUUCUACCUUGGCUUCCAUUAAGCUGUAUUUUCCUGGUUUCCCUCCUAUUUAUGUGGCUACUUCCCAGUCUCUUUUUCUAGGUCCUUCUCUUCAACAUGGCCCUUCAGUGUUGGAUAUUCAGGACUCUUCCCAGGCCCUUUGCUUUUCAAUUCUACACACUUUACCUAGAAAAUGUUUGUUAUCCAUUCUUAUGACAAACCACCAUCAAUAUGCUGAUGACUCCCACAUCUGUAUCUCCAGCAUCCACCAUUUUUCAAACUCAAGACUGUAUCCAACUGCAUACUCUGUAUCUGCAUAUAUCUUAAUUACUUCAAGUUCAAUAUGCUCAAAAUUGAACUAAUCAUCUUUUUUCCCCCUCAAAACUGCUCAUCUUCUAGGGGGUCUCAGACUCAAAUAUGCUAAUAGUGUCCACUCAACUACUCAAGCCAUAAGCUUAUGAAUCAAUCUUAUCUUCUCCUUCAACCCAUAUAUACAGUGAAUCAAAAUGUCCUGUUGAUUCUACUUUCUUAAAAACUCUUUAACUGAUUAGCUUUUCUACAUCUCUACAACCAUAACUUACUGACCACAAAGCUAUUAACAAUGCCUGAUUAUAGUGUUUUAGUAGCUUCUUAGCUAAUUUCCUCAUAAAAUCUUUUCUUUAGUGAUGCCUGGGUGGCUCAGUCAGUUAAGCGUCUGCCUUCAGCUCAGGUCAUGAUCCCAGGGUCCUGGGAUCAACCACUGCAUCAGGCUCCCUGCUCAGCAGGGAGCCUACUUCUCCCUCUCCCUUUGCUGCUCCUCCUGUUUCUGUGUGCUCUCUCUCUCUCUCAAAUAAAUAAAAUCUUAUAAAAAAAUCUUUUGUUUCCACUCCAAUAUUUUCUCCACAUAGCAAAGAGUAAAAAAAUU
Ailuropoda melanoleuca (giant panda) is the source of this 3773-nucleotide long non-coding RNA. NCBI's taxonomy places the organism in Eukaryota, Metazoa, Chordata, Mammalia, Carnivora, Ursidae. The record is from Ensembl.